Molecule: ribosomal RNA, 253 nt
Filed under: uncultured bacterium
Lineage: Bacteria
Description: partial 16S ribosomal RNA
Rfam family: Bacterial small subunit ribosomal RNA
Source: RNAcentral
GACGUAGGGGGCCAGCGUUGUUCGGAAUUACUGGGUGUAAAGGGUUCGUAGGCGGUGUAGCAAGUCGGGAGUGAAAUCUCUGGGCUUAACCCAGAGGCUGCUUCCGAAACUGCUGUGCUUGAGUGUGGGAGAGGCGCGUGGAAUUGCAGGUGUAGCGGUGAAAUGCGUAGAUAUCUGCAGGAACACCCGUGGCGAAAGCGGCGCGCUGGACCACUACUGGCGCUGAGGAACGAAAGCUAGGGGAGCAAACAGG